This 1000-nucleotide ribosomal RNA is filed under the name Syllidae sp. A ZW-2021. RNAcentral describes it as "partial large subunit ribosomal RNA". It matches the Rfam family "Eukaryotic large subunit ribosomal RNA", at positions 71 to 837 of the family's 3401-position model. The record is from RNAcentral. Lineage: Eukaryota; Metazoa; Annelida; Polychaeta; Phyllodocida; Syllidae.
AGGAUUCCCUCAGUAACGGCGAGUGAACAGGGAAGAGCCCAGCACCGAAUCCCCCGGCCCUGGCGGUCGGCGGGACCUGUGGUGUGUGGGACGGCACUUGGGGCGGCGGCUGGCGUCCGAGUUCUCCUGAUAGGGACUUGCCCAGAGCGGGUGUUAGGCCUCUAGGGCGCCCGGCCGCCGUCUCUCGUGGACUCGUCCCCAGAGUCGGGUUGUUUGGGAAUGCAGCCCAAAGUGGUGGUAAACUCCAUCUAAGGCUAAAUACGGACACGAGACCGAUAGCGAACAAGUACCGUGAGGGAAAGUUGAAAAGGACUUUGAAGAGAGAGUUCAACAGUACGUGAAACCGCUCAGAGGCAAACGGAUGGGACCACAAAGUCGACCCGCGGAAUUCAGCCGUGCGCGGGCGCGAAGCCGGGGGUGAGGGGUUGGACUGCGGUCUCUUCCUCCGCCCCCGGAUCCCAGCGCCUGCCGCGGUGCACUUUCCGCGGGGAGAGCGCCACGACCGGUUGUCCGGCCGCCUCAAGCCUCCCCGGAAGGUAGCUGUCGCCCCUCGGGGUGCCAGUGUUACAGACGGGGAAGUGUGUUGGCCGGCCGGGUGACCGAGGUAACACCGCCGCGUCAGCUCUAGUGCUCGGGCGCCCCCGCCCCUCGGCGAGUUCGACCUGGACGGACUGAUCUCAGUGCGUCCUGACUGCUUCGCCGUUGCCUCUGGCUGGGGGACCGCUCCCGUGCGGACGCAAAGGGUCGGUGGCGAAUCGGUUGGCACCCCACCCGACCCGUCUUGAAACACGGACCAAGGAGUCUAACAUGUGCGCGAGUCACUGGGUUCUACGAAACCCAAAGGCGGAGUGAAAGCGAAGGGCCCUCGCGGCCCCAGGUGGGAUCCCCUCUCCCCUUCCGAGGGGUUGGGGCGCACCACCGGCCCGUCUGGAACUUCUGACACGAAGUCAGGCGGAGCAAGAGCGUACACGUUGGGACCCGAAAGAUGGUGAACUAUGCC